This 484-nucleotide ribosomal RNA is filed under the name uncultured bacterium. RNAcentral describes it as "partial 16S ribosomal RNA". It matches the Rfam family "Bacterial small subunit ribosomal RNA", at positions 30 to 507 of the family's 1533-position model. The record is from RNAcentral.
AUUGAACGCUGGCGGCAGGCCUUACACAUGCAAGUCGAGCGGCUGAAGGGAGUUUGCUCUUGCAUUCAGCGGCGGACGGGUGAGUAAUGCCUAGGAACCUGCCUGGUAGUGGGGGAUAACUUCCGGAAACGGGCGUUAAUACCGCAUACGUCCUGAGGGUGAAAGCGGGGGAUCUUCGGACCUCACGCUAUCAGAUCAGCCUAUGUCGGAUUAGCUAGUUGGUGGGGUAAAGGCCUACCAAGGCGACGAUCCGUAGCUGGUCUGAGAGGAUGAUCAGUCACACUGGGACUGAGACACGGCCCAGACUCCUACGGGAGGCAGCAGUGGGGAAUUUUGGACAAUGGGCGAAAGCCUGAUCCAGCAAUGCCGCGUGUGUGAAGAAGGUCUUCGGAUUGUAAAGCACUUUAAGUGGGGAGGAAAAGGAGUGAGUUAAUACCUCGGUGUGAUGACGGUACCAGCAGAAUAAGCACCGGCUAACUACGUG